Long non-coding RNA from Clupea harengus (Atlantic herring), 879 nucleotides. The record is from Ensembl. Lineage: Eukaryota; Metazoa; Chordata; Actinopteri; Clupeiformes; Clupeidae.
UGUGUGUGUUUGUGUGUGUAUUGGGGGGUGGAGGGAUCUACAGCCAUGGUGACCAGAGAGGAUAUGGGUCAGUAGCAUUUGGGGUGGAGAGAGGAGGGGGGUGUUGGAGGAUAAGAAAGGAGAAAGAGUGUGUGAGGCUUUGACAGGAGGAGAAAAUAGUGUGUGAGGCUUUGACAGCAGGACAGAGUGUGUGAGGCUUUGACAGCAGGACAGAGUGUGUGAAGCUUUGACAGGAGGAGAAAAGAAUGUGUGAGGCUUUGACAGGAAUCUUUGUUCUGAGAAGAUCUGUUUGCUUUUAUUUUCCUGUUUUUGUUUUCGUUUUUUUUCUUUUCUUUUCUUUCCAUAUGCGUGCAUCCUCUGUAGUCUGUAAAAUAUAUAACUUGCACUAGCUUUUUGUAAAAAAAAAAGAAGAAGAAGAAGAAAGAAAGAAAGAAAGAAAGAAAAGAAAACUAAUAUAACAGAAUUAUGGAGGAAGUCAAAUUCUAUUUUCUAACAGUGGUGUAUCUAUUUGUAGGACGCACUCACACCAGUUUUCUUGGAUCUUAUGAUUUGAGGGUCCUUUUUGGGGGAUUUUAUUUUAUUUUAUUUUGAUGGUGCUUGCCUGUUUUUCUAGGUAGAAUUGAUUUCAUUUGUAUGGAUAACAAAACACACACACACACACAAAACAAUGUUUGAUUCAGGUUGUGAACAAAUUUGUAAAAAAAAAAUGGAAAGAAAAGAAAGUGUCUGUAUACCAGUACAAGUCUAUUGUUUCAGUAUACACGUACUAAUAAAACACAACUACAGUGCCAACUGCAGGACUCGGGCGUCUGGCUGCAGGUCGUGGGUAUGGGACUGUUUGACUGUGUGUGUGUGUGUGUGUGUGUGUGUGUGUGUGUG